CAGUAGCCACGGUAAUACGAAGGGUGCAAGCGUUAAUCGGAAUUACUGGGCGUAAAGCGUGUGUAGGCGGUUUGUUAAGUCUGUUGUGAAAUCCCCGGGCUCAACCUGGGAAUGGCAAUGGAUACUGGCAAGCUAGAGUGUGUCAGAGGAUGGUGGAAUUCCCGGUGUAGCGGUGAAAUGCGUAGAGAUCGGGAGGAACAUCAGUGGCGAAGGCGGCCAUCUGGGACAACACUGACGCUGAGGCACGAAAGCGUGGGGAGCAAACAGGAUUAGAUACCCCCGUAGUCCCUGUCUCUUAUAA
Molecule: ribosomal RNA, 301 nt
Filed under: uncultured bacterium
Lineage: Bacteria
Description: partial 16S ribosomal RNA
Rfam family: Bacterial small subunit ribosomal RNA
Source: RNAcentral